UUUCUGUUUGGUGGGGAUUUGGGGCCUCAGAAUUGAGUAAUGAGAGUGAAGGGUGAAGUGAAUCUCAAAGCAUGGAGGCAGCUGUGGCAUGUUUUACUGCGACACAGCCGUAGUCCUGUCAGGAUGUGAUACUUUCAGAUGCUGUUCGUGGUGGGCAGUUGCUGGUGGAGAAGCACUGCAGGUGCAACACCAUUAGACACUUUUUCCUUUGUGUCAGAAGUUUGAGAGCUGCCCAGGAACAUUAAAUAGGGAACAGUCUUCUGACAUCUUCCAGGUAAGAUGGAAACGGGAGAUCCUGAGCAUUUGAAUGAUGAAAGAUCUCAGUGUGUUACCUGCAAGUCAGUGUUUUAACCCCAACAUUCUGGCCAAAUUCCAGCUCUGCUAAUUACAUCCUGCCUAUGUGAAAAUUCCCCUGCGUUUGUACACUGCUUUCUUCCCCGCUUGUUUUCAGCAGCUGCAUGGAGUUGCCAGGUGCGGCGAGGCGCUUGCCAUGUUCCACCUCAGGCCUGGCUGCCUUUCAGCAGGGAAUGAAAUGAGCACUGUGCACAGCAUUUGAAGUGAGUCUGGAUCCUGGAUAUUCCCCUGGAUAGCAGGGAAGGAUGCUAUAGAAGAAGUGUACCCUAGGACCAGUGCUGGAGCCUUGUCAUAGAAGGUAACGGCAUGAAGAGGCCAGAGGCACCAGUGCUGGGAUACACCGCAGGGUUAUAGGGGCGACAGGAGGGGGCUGCUGCACUGUGAUCUGAUUUUUCUCCCAGCAUCUCUCCCCUACAAGGGCUGGAAUUGCUGGUACACACUGAUCUGGUUUUGGCUGACUGACUUCAGGUUUGUUUGCACAGUGGGAGAAGCUCUCAGUCCCACUUACGCCAGCCACUGCCAAUACAUUUCCAGCUUUGCAUGUCUGGUUAUCAGUUGGUGUGGACAAGGGAAGCUAAGAGAAAAGAAAUAAUUCAAAACCUUUAAAUCUAUAGAUCUGUUUCCUUCUUUUCCACUUUGUGACUCAUGUGCACACUGCUUUUUGCACAGCCCUGUUGGGAACAACUCUUUUCAACUGACCAUUAAUCCCCCUAGAAAAAAACUGACUCAUACUAGUGGAGAGAAACUGGCUGAUGGAUUAUCCCUCUCUUCUGAAGGGGUGAAAGAGAUGGCUGUAGCAGUUGUCAUAGGACUCUGAUAAUAAGAAGCAGUAAGAAAUGCAGGUCACAUACAGAAGGAUAAUGAAAUCCCAUAUAUUCAAUACAGGAGUGACUUACUGGCUCAUCUGUCCAAGUUCCUUGUCAGCCAAGCUCUCUCUUUGAUUAUGGCAUUUUUACCACAGUCCUGUCUGAAUAUUAUAUGGAAGCACAUUCUGCCUGAAGAUUAUAUGGAAGCACAUACAAAAAUGUUUGAGGUUGCUCCUGAUAGUACACUAACUUCACUGGCAGCAGAGGAGGUAGAAAAUGCCCAAAGGCAGACAGAGCCGUGACUUGCUUCUUCCCCAUUCCCCUCACAUCCCUCUCUGAUCUUUUCAACAUCUUAAUCCCAUGAGACAGCAGCUGUGAGUAGUCUCUCUGUUCCAAGGGGAAAAAACAAGGUUAUCUCAAGGUGUGAUGCCAGCAUGUUUUCACUAUAUCCCAGAAGGGGAAGUACAGCAAGCCUUGAAGAGGGAGGGAAUGUGUGUUUGUGGUGUAAGGUCGAAAGCUUGGACUCAAAGACCCGAGCCCUUUUGCCAUGCUGCCUGUGUGACUUCAGGCAAGGCACAACCUUCCUAGUCUCAUUAGCCCUGUCUUUAAACUGUAUUUAGUACUUGCUUCACGGGGCUGAGAAGAAGGAGAUUAAGCUUUAAUUCAUUAAUGUUUAUAAAACAUUUUAAAACUUGAUGGAAAUUUCCCAGGUACGCAGAGAGCAUAAAAAAGCUUAUCUCCCUCUCCAUCUGCAAAUGGUCCUGCAAUAUGAGAGAAAUGAGUGAAAACAGUGCUUGCAUUUUGGUAUUUAUGAUAUUAAA
Long non-coding RNA from Strigops habroptila (Kakapo), 1981 nucleotides. NCBI's taxonomy places the organism in Eukaryota, Metazoa, Chordata, Aves, Psittaciformes, Psittacidae. The record is from Ensembl.